UACGGAGGGGGCUAGCGUUGUUCGGAAUUACUGGGCGUAAAGCGCACGUAGGCGGCUUUGUAAGUUAGAGGUGAAAGCCCAGGGCUCAACCCUGGAAUUGCCUUUAAGACUGCAUCGCUAGAAUUGUGGAGAGGUAAGUGGAAUUCCGAGUGUAGAGGUGAAAUUCGUAGAUAUUCGGAAGAACACCGGUGGCGAAGGCGGCCACCUGGACGGUCACUGACGCUGAGACGCGAAAGCGUGGGGAGCAAACAGG
This 253-nucleotide ribosomal RNA is filed under the name uncultured bacterium. RNAcentral's name for it is "partial 16S ribosomal RNA". It matches the Rfam family "Bacterial small subunit ribosomal RNA", at positions 524 to 776 of the family's 1533-position model. The record is from RNAcentral.